Esox lucius (northern pike) is the source of this 1865-nucleotide long non-coding RNA. RefSeq lists it as uncharacterized. The record is from RefSeq and is a predicted model, not a curated record. NCBI's taxonomy places the organism in Eukaryota, Metazoa, Chordata, Actinopteri, Esociformes, Esocidae. The transcript is spliced from 3 exons.
UUAAAAUAUUUGAAUAGAGGGGAUCAUGUUUUGGUAACAGGGUUGCACGUAAAACUUUUUAGUAUUGAAUGAUCAGUCAUAUUUUCUAAGUCAUUGCCAUAAUUUCACAAUUUCUGCCUCGGUUUGAGCACAACUUCCCCUCCCAAAAAAUGGGGGGUAAAAUUUAAUACACACAAGUACUCAAAUACUAAUAUAAUUUUGGGUAUUAGAAUAUUCGACUAUCCAUGCCCAUCCCUAGUACCUAGUAGGAUUAUAAUACGAUUAACGAUCUCUUAAAAGUUUAUGUAAAAAACCACGCCAGCUUGAAGUGUUAUUUGUCAAUAGCGACCACAGUUUUUCAAAUACAGGCUCAGCUAAUACAUCUUUUUAAGAACUUGGUCUAUAGAAGCCAAAUAUCAAAAGACGUGAAGAUCAGACAUUUCAUAUGAAACAAGUUUCAUGAAUCUAAAACCCAGUGCAUGACACAUGGAUUCACCCAAUGUAUUGUGGGAACUUGUGGAAGGUUCGUAUCUCAGAACAUCUUGGCACCAUUAGGUGUAAAAACACGACAUACCCUGUUGCUGCUCAUUUCAUUGAGAUGAAUCAUUCAAUUGCAUCUCUCCACUAUACAGGCAUUGAACAUGUCACCCUUCCUAGGAGAGGAGGCAACCUUGACAAUUUAUUGUUAAAAAGAGAGGCGGCUUGGAUCUUUAAUUUAAGGACCCUUGCUCCAUUAGGUCUCAAUAUUAAUUAUGAUCUGAAACCAUUUCUUUGAUUUGUGUAUUCAUUUUUAACAUGGUUUGCUCUUGAUUAUUGAUAAAACUUAGUGCCAUUGUGGCCUUUGGUGUAUUCCUGUUUGUAUAUAUCUAUUCUUUAUUUUGUUUCCCUAUUCAAUUUUGACACACUACUCCUUUAUUCUCCAAUUGGAUAAUCUCUCUGAUUGACAUAUUACAAGCACCUGUGUGUGUCCCACAAUACCCUAUAAAAGCAUGUGAUUUGCAGUGUUUUUCAGUGUACCCUGAUGAAGACAGCAUGUAUAUGGUAUAUGCUUUUGAGUUUAGAGUGUGCCGCUUUUUCAUUCAUUUUAUUUCCAUUUCCUACCCUUUAGCCAGCACCUCGUCAACUAAGGUGUGUGUUUCUUCUACCUUUAACUUGUGGAAGGCUACCUGAAACAUUUGACCCAAGUCAAACAAUUAAAUUAAAAUGUUUUAACAAUCGAUAAAUAAGAUAUUAACAGGAAAUUGCAUCAUAAAGAUUUUCUGCACCAUUGCCAGGCAACAAGCGGGUAGACCACCACUAACUGCUGCUGAAAAGCAUUGGCUUUACCAUACUCUCCAAGAUGCUGACCCUGAGAGAGCAGAGGACCUCAGAAAAGAGAGAAAAGUGCAAGAGAGACAAUGCGACGCGAAAGAAGGCGUUGAUAGGCGACAUGGGUAAAAGAGCACAGCGAGGACAGCGCACAAAGCAGAGAGGCAUAAAACACACACGUGCAUGGAGAACAUGUGGAACGGAACAACCAUUAACAACCUGUUCAGUGAAUGGAGUCGACAGAGGUGUUAUUUACAACGGAAAUCACUGUUCAUAUUAAGUUGCUGCUCAAGUAUGGUGAUAUAUACUAUUGUAAAUUAUUUUGGAUGAUUUUGACUGACAAUUGUUUAUUUUGUUAAAUUAUGCACACGGCCCUACGUCUCUCCCUGCUCUAUCACACCUGAUUGAAAUGAUCAAACAUGCAGGUUGGAGUCCCUCCAGGAGCAGGAUUGAGAAAAAACUGUUCUAUGCUACUGUACACGUCAUCCUGGGAAUUCAAAGUAUUUAACUGCCCUUUUUUACCUGUCAUUGGAGUGAUAGGAUCCCAGCUCUGGCCAUCUGGCACAUACAGUAUCUCA